This 1460-nucleotide ribosomal RNA is filed under the name uncultured organism. Its description in RNAcentral is "SSU rRNA". It matches the Rfam family "Bacterial small subunit ribosomal RNA". The record is from RNAcentral.
GGUGGCGUGCCUAAUACAUGCAAGUAGAACGCUGAAGAGAGGAGCUUGCUCUUCUUGGAUGAGUUGCGAACGGGUGAGUAACGCGUAGGUAACCUGCCUUGUAGCGGGGGAUAACUAUUGGAAACGAUAGCUAAUACCGCAUAACAAUGGAUGACACAUGUCAUUUAUUUGAAAGGGGCAAUUGCUCCACUACAAGAUGGACCUGCGUUGUAUUAGCUAGUAGGUGAGGUAACGGCUCACCUAGGCGACGAUACAUAGCCGACCUGAGAGGGUGAUCGGCCACACUGGGACUGAGACACGGCCCAGACUCCUACGGGAGGCAGCAGUAGGGAAUCUUCGGCAAUGGGGGCAACCCUGACCGAGCAACGCCGCGUGAGUGAAGAAGGUUUUCGGAUCGUAAAGCUCUGUUGUAAGUCAAGAACGAGUGUGAGAGUGGAAAGUUCACACUGUGACGGUAGCUUACCAGAAAGGGACGGCUAACUACGUGCCAGCAGCCGCGGUAAUACGUAGGUCCCGAGCGUUGUCCGGAUUUAUUGGGCGUAAAGCGAGCGCAGGCGGUUUGAUAAGUCUGAAGUUAAAGGCUGUGGCUCAACCAUAGUUCGCUUUGGAAACUGUCAAACUUGAGUGCAGAAGGGGAGAGUGGAAUUCCAUGUGUAGCGGUGAAAUGCGUAGAUAUAUGGAGGAACACCGGUGGCGAAAGCGGCUCUCUGGUCUGUAACUGACGCUGAGGCUCGAAAGCGUGGGGAGCGAACAGGAUUAGAUACCCUGGUAGUCCACGCCGUAAACGAUGAGUGCUAGGUGUUGGAUCCUUUCCGGGAUUCAGUGCCGCAGCUAACGCAUUAAGCACUCCGCCUGGGGAGUACGACCGCAAGGUUGAAACUCAAAGGAAUUGACGGGGGCCCGCACAAGCGGUGGAGCAUGUGGUUUAAUUCGAAGCAACGCGAAGAACCUUACCAGGUCUUGACAUCCCGAUGCUAUUUCUAGAGAUAGAAAGUUACUUCGGUACAUCGGUGACAGGUGGUGCAUGGUUGUCGUCAGCUCGUGUCGUGAGAUGUUGGGUUAAGUCCCGCAACGAGCGCAACCCCUAUUGUUAGUUGCCAUCAUUCAGUUGGGCACUCUAGCGAGACUGCCGGUAAUAAACCGGAGGAAGGUGGGGAUGACGUCAAAUCAUCAUGCCCCUUAUGACCUGGGCUACACACGUGCUACAAUGGUUGGUACAACGAGUUGCGAGUCGGUGACGGCAAGCUAAUCUCUUAAAGCCAAUCUCAGUUCGGAUUGUAGGCUGCAACUCGCCUACAUGAAGUCGGAAUCGCUAGUAAUCGCGGAUCAGCACGCCGCGGUGAAUACGUUCCCGGGCCUUGUACACACCGCCCGUCACACCACGAGAGUUUGUAACACCCGAAGUCGGUGAGGUAACCUUUUGGAGCCAGCCGCCUAAGGUGGGAUAGAUGAUUGGGGUG